Molecule: long non-coding RNA, 1983 nt
Organism: Misgurnus anguillicaudatus (oriental weatherfish)
Lineage: Eukaryota; Metazoa; Chordata; Actinopteri; Cypriniformes; Cobitidae
Source: RefSeq, a predicted model, not a curated record
AUCUCACGAAUGUCUCCAUUAGAAUUUGUGUAAAAUAGAUCUUAACAAUGUCACAAACUGAGCAUACAUUUCCUAAAAGUCAGUAUUACUGAAAAUUUUAUUAUUCAAGAUUACUGAAAAAUCUACAUUAAUUUUACAGCUUCAUACUCUUAACAAUUUUCUCAUUUGUUUCUAUUUUUAUUUGUAAGCAAGAGACUUGCUUGAUGAAGUCUUUGGCAAAUACCUAGAGUGAACCUGAGAUAUUUCACAAACUACUUCCUUGAGGAUCAGCGUAAGUUUCUGUUUCCAAGUAAAACAUCAUAAACAAAACACGAAUCAGAAAAUGUCAGACGAUAACCUGACCCUAUCUUCAUCAUUAUUAUAAGUACAAAAACAAAUGGCACACAGAGGAGGUUCACCAAUUUUAUACAAUUAAAUGCUGUUUAAACAAAGUGAAAAUGAGCUUUCAAAAUAAGCUUUUCUUUCAUUCUACUGACAAAAUCAAAACAGAAAACAGAACUGAUAAAAGCAGUCACGUGAGGGUUGUUUGUUUUAAACUAGUAUGACCAGAUGCUUGAUGGGUUUGUACACAUUAAGAUCAUUCAUGUUGUUCUCAUCUUUCAUUCAACACUUCCUCACUAUUCUGUUCAUCAGCUCAAUUUAGUUUUCCAGCUCUAAACUGAGUUGAUCUAAGUGUUCAUCUGUGUGACCUAUCUGAUCUAUAUCUGUCUUGUACGUGGCGUGAAUAAGAGUCAUCAGGAACAUGCCACAGACCCUGAAUAAUUUCUCCAAGCUGAGAGAUUCCAAGUUUGGGAGGCCAGAUCCCAGACAUGGCCUCAGAUUAUUGUGGUGGUUUGCUCAUGAAUAUGUUCGCAUUGACUCCAAUGGUCUAUAUGUGCUGCAUGACCCAGCGGAUGGACAUUUUGGCUUCCAUCGUUUUAAAAAUGUAGAGAGAAUUCUUCCUAUUAACCAGGAAUACUACGAGACAGGCAACCUCAGCAGGUCUUCAGACCUACCUCAUUAUGUCACUGAAAAGUACACAGGAAAUUCAGAUGCCAGCAACACAGAUCGCAUCAUUGUUUCUGUAUGGUCAAGAUUGAAUGGUAAAAUCUUGUUAAAUGAUGUUUAUGUGACUCAGCAUUUAAACCACAGACUGGAGUUUGACCCAAAUCGCACCUACCGCAUCAGUCCAGAACUCAUUAGAGAGAUUAAAAACUUGGACAGAUCAGAAUUCCUCGGACAACCAAAGAGGGACCAGAAUUCUUUCUCAGUACGGAUUGAACCCCCUCAGGUUGUAACCAAUCAGCAGCAGUCGUCACCAUCUAGAGGAAAUUGUUGUGGUUGUAAAAUGAUCUGUGCUGUGGCGUGUGGUAUACUUCUUCUAGUUUUUAUUGUUUUUAUGCUUGUUUUAUUUCUGGUGCAAAGGUCUACAUGAGCCUACAUAAAUAGCAAAUCUUUUAUUUAUUUUCUUAAGUAUUUAGUUGUAAAUAGUUUUUUUAGUGUGUUUGUAUAGAAGGUUUAUGGAUAAAUCACUUUUUUAAAAGACACUUUGGAUUAAGGCAUCUUCUGAUCAGUGGUUCUGCUAUGAAAAGGGUCAUGGAAAGCAGAGAGAUAACAGGGCUUAAUGCAAAUGUUUUGUGCCCUGAUUGGCGCACCAAACAGGGUUUGUUUCAUUUGCAAAACAAUCUAUAUUUUUCAUACUGUUUUGCUUUAUAUAUAUAAAAAGCUUUUACGGCUACUUAGCGUUAUUUAGUGUUUAAAAAUUACCAAUGUAUACAUACACUUUGUGUAUAAAUUGUGUAUAUAUUAAAGGUGCACUGUGUAACUUUUAGAAGGAUCUUUUGACAAAAAUGCAAUAUAAUAUAACUAACUAUUUUAUCAGUGGUGUUUAAAGACCUUAUGUAAUGAACUGUAUUGUUUUUAUUACAUUAAAAUGAGCCGCUUUUAUCUGCAAACACCGCUGGUCUCUGUUCUUUACAUACCUGCAGAAUCAUUAUAGUCGCA